Regulatory RNA element from Erwinia billingiae, 122 nucleotides. NCBI's taxonomy places the organism in Bacteria, Pseudomonadati, Pseudomonadota, Gammaproteobacteria, Enterobacterales, Erwiniaceae. The record is from Rfam.
AUUUCAGCCUGAUGACAACAAUCAUUAUUACCACCACCAUUACCACAGGUAACGGUGCGGGCUGACGCAUACAGGAAUCAUCAAAAAUAAGCCCGCACCUAAACAGUGCGGGCUUUUUUUUC